UAAGGAAUAUUGGUCAAUGGGGGGAACCCUGAACCAGCCAUGCCGCGUGCAGGACGAAGGCCCUCCGGGUCGUAAACUGCUUUUGCCCGGGGCUAAUGGGCGGCUAUACGCCGCACGGGAAGGUACCGGGAGAAUAAGCCACGGCUAACUACGUGCCAGCAGCCGCGGUAAUACGUAGGUGGCAAGCGUUGUCCGGAUUUACUGGGUUUAAAGGGUGCGUAGGCGGCCCUGUAAGUCAGGGGUGAAAGGCGGGCGCUCAACGCCCGUGAGCCCUUGAUACUGUGGGGAUUGAGUCCCGUGGAGGCAUCCGGAAUGCGCGGUGUAGCGGUGAAAUGCAUAGAUAUCGCGCGGAACGCCGAUUGCGAAGGCAGGAUGCUACGCGGGUACAGACGCUGAGGCA
RNAcentral lists this ribosomal RNA (400 nucleotides) under uncultured bacterium. Its description in RNAcentral is "bacterial SSU rRNA". It matches the Rfam family "Bacterial small subunit ribosomal RNA", at positions 355 to 753 of the family's 1533-position model. The record is from RNAcentral.